AUGCCUAUCAUGGCAGGGGAGAUACCAUGAUCAUGAAGGUGGUUUUCCCAGGGUGAGGCUCAUCCAUUGCACUGCGGGUGUGCUGACCCCUGCGAUUUCCCCAAAUGCGGGAAACUCGACUGCAUAAUUUGUGGUAGUGGGGGACUGCGUUCGCGCUCUCCCCUG
Molecule: small nuclear RNA, 165 nt
Organism: Mauremys reevesii (Reeves's turtle)
Lineage: Eukaryota; Metazoa; Chordata; Testudines; Geoemydidae
Product: U1 spliceosomal RNA
Exons: 1
Source: RefSeq, a predicted model, not a curated record